UAAUACGGAGGGUGCAAGCGUUAGUCGGAAUUACUGGGCGUAAAGCGCGCGUAGGCGGUUUGUUAAGUCGGAUGUGAAAGCCCUGGGCUCAACCUGGGAACUGCAUCCGAUACUGGCAGGCUAGAGUACGGUAGAGGGGGGUAGAAUUCCACGUGUAGCGGCGAAAUGCGUAGAGAUGUGGAGGAAUACCAGUGGCGAAGGCGGCCCCCUGGACUGAUACUGACGCUAAGGUGCGAAAGCGUGGGGAGCAAACAGGAUUAGAUACCCUGGUAGUCCACGCUGUAAACGAUGUCAACUAGCCGUUGGAAGGGUAAUCCUUUUAGUGGCGUAGCUAACGCGCUAAGUUGACCGCCUGGGGAGUACGGUCGCAAGAUUA
This 376-nucleotide ribosomal RNA is filed under the name uncultured Gammaproteobacteria bacterium. RNAcentral's name for it is "bacterial SSU rRNA". It matches the Rfam family "Bacterial small subunit ribosomal RNA", at positions 521 to 896 of the family's 1533-position model. The record is from RNAcentral. Lineage: Bacteria; Pseudomonadati; Pseudomonadota; Gammaproteobacteria.